RNAcentral lists this ribosomal RNA (403 nucleotides) under uncultured bacterium. Its description in RNAcentral is "bacterial SSU rRNA". It matches the Rfam family "Bacterial small subunit ribosomal RNA", at positions 355 to 775 of the family's 1533-position model. The record is from RNAcentral.
UGGGGAAUCUUGCACAAUGGGGGCAACCCUGAUGCAGCGACGCCGCGUGAGUGAUGAAGCCCUUCGGGGUGUAAAGCUCUUUCGACAGGAACGAUAAUGACGGUACCUGGAGAAGAAGCUGCGGCUAACUACGUGCCAGCAGCCGCGGUAAUACGUAGGCAGCAAACGUUGUUCGGAAUUACUGGGCGUAAAGAGUGUGUAGGCGGCUUUGCAAGUUUGGUGUGAAAUCUCCCGGCUUAACUGGGAGGGUGCGCCGAAAACUGCAAGGCUCGAGUGCUGGAGAGGAGAGCGGAAUUCCUGGUGUAGCGGUGAAAUGCGUAGAUAUCAGGAGGAACACCGGUGGUGUAGACGGCUCUCUGGACAGUCACUGACGCUGAGACACGAAAGCGUGGGGAGCAAACAG